AUGACUAUAUCUAACCUGACUGCUGGUGUCCAGUAUGGCAUAAAUGUCACAGCUGUGGCAGCAGAUAACCAAACUAAAGGAAAGAGUGUGUUUACCUCCAAUUAUACAAAACCAAAUGAAGUCAGAGACCUCACAGUUACUGAAAUCACCACUUCAUCUAUAUCUUUGAAAUGGACCAGUCCAUUAGGAAACAGUUCAUUGUAUGAAGUACAAUGGUCACAUGAAUCAUCUACUCUAAAAGCCAUUGUGACUGACAAAAACAUGACUAUAUCUAACCUGACUGCUGGUGUCCAGUAUGGCAUAAAUGUCACAGCUGUGGCAGCAGAUAACCAAACUAAAGGAAAGAGUGUGUUUACCUCCAAUUAUACAAGUAAGUACACACGGAAAACAUUCAAGACUUGCUGAGAGAUGUGUUCAACAAUAUACUUUGAAUUAGUCCAAUAUCUAUAUUGACGUUCUUGAGGGGGGGAAAGCUAAAGGAAAAAGGAAGACCAGAGAGUAGGAGUGGUCUUAAUAUGGAAAAGAUUAGACAGAUAGGAAGGAGCCAUGCUAUGAAAGGCUUUGAACAUGUAGAGAAGAAGUUUGAAUUGAAUCCAAAAAAAAAAAACGGGAGCCAGCGCAGCUGUUGUGGAACAGGAGUGAUGUGAUGGAUGGAGGGAGUUCUGGUGAUGAUGCAAGCAGCUGAAUUCUGGACCAAUCAAAGUUUAUUUAGCGUCUUAUUGGGAAGACUAGUCAGGAGAGCAUUGCAGUAGUCAAGGUGAGAAGUGACCAGACUACAUCACAAUGGAAGCUGAGUGGACAGUGAUUGAGGGGAAGGGGAGGAGACGAUUAAAAUUACAUAGAUGAAAGUAGGCAGACAGAGUAAUGCUACUGAUGUGAGAUUGAAAGGAUAGUGAACUGCCAAGGAUGACAUCCAGGCCCUUGACCUUAGGUGAAGGAGAAACUGAAGAGGAGUAGAUGGAAGAUGUGAAAUUGGAAACUUUGGAAAGGGUGAAUAUGGAACCAAAAAGGAGAAACUUGGUUUUGUGACUGUUAAGUUUGAGGAAAUUUAAAGAAAACCAUGUUUUUAUGCUAGACAGGCAGGAGGAGAGUGAGGAUGGUGGAAGAGAAUAGUUGGGUUUAUUGGCCAGAUAGAGCUGGGUCUCAUCGGCGAAACAAUGAGAACCAAUGUUAAAUUUGCAUAUUAUAUUGCAGAAGGGUAGGAGGUUGUUAAUGAAGAAACGGGGACAAAGAACAGAACCUUGAGGAAAACUUGAGGAGUUGGAGGAGGAUUGGGAUUUAAAUGAUUUCAAUAGGAUAAACUGGUAUUGGCUUGAG
RNAcentral lists this long non-coding RNA (1317 nucleotides) under Oryzias javanicus (javanese ricefish). RNAcentral describes it as "lncRNA (ENSOJAG00000000795.1)". Lineage: Eukaryota; Metazoa; Chordata; Actinopteri; Beloniformes; Adrianichthyidae. The record is from RNAcentral.